AUACGGAGGGGGCAAGCGUUAUUCGGAAUUAUUGGGCGUAAAGGGCGCGCAGGCGGCUUGACAAGUCAACGGUGAAAUCCCUCGGCCUAACCGAGGAACUGCCUUUGAAACUGUCUCGCUUGAGGCCGGGAGAGGGUGGUGGAAUUCCCAGUGUAGCGGUGAAAUGCGUAGAUAUUGGGCGGAACACCAGUGGCGAAGGCGACCACCUGGACCGGUUCUGACGCUGAGGCGCGAAAGCCAGGGGAGCAAACGGGAUUAGAAACCCCGGUAGUCC
Molecule: ribosomal RNA, 274 nt
Filed under: uncultured bacterium
Lineage: Bacteria
Description: partial 16S ribosomal RNA
Rfam family: Bacterial small subunit ribosomal RNA
Source: RNAcentral